UACGUAGGGUGCAAGCGUUGUCCGGAAUUAUUGGGCGUAAAGAGCUCGUAGGCGGUCUGUCGCGUCUGCUGUGAAAACUCGGGGCUUAACCCCGGGCCUGCAGUGGGUACGGGCAGACUAGAGUGCGGUAGGGGAGACUGGAAUUCCUGGUGUAGCGGUGAAAUGCGCAGAUAUCAGGAGGAACACCGGUGGCGAAGGCGGGUCUCUGGGCCGUAACUGACGCUGAGACGCGAAAGCGUGGGGAGCGAACAGG
Molecule: ribosomal RNA, 253 nt
Filed under: uncultured bacterium
Lineage: Bacteria
Description: partial 16S ribosomal RNA
Rfam family: Bacterial small subunit ribosomal RNA
Source: RNAcentral